UAUUUCUGUGAGAUCAGGUUGCUAUUAUCUCCCUAUUACUCUAAUCUUUCCUGCUUAUCGCUCAAAUGAUUAAUUUCUAUAUUAAUAUCGGUACUCAUUUAAGAUACCUUCAUCAGUUACCGGAGGCCACUGUCUAACAUCAUCAAUCCAGCUAUUCAUGAUGCUGUCAUUGUAGAGAGUCAGUUCACAAUGACAGCAUAAUGAAUUGAUGACUGACACAUGUCACUGCAGCAAUGGCGCCGCCGCAAGAUGGCGGCAUACACAAAUCGCUCGCCGGAUUUGUCUAUACUUGACAUUAUAUGAGGUUCCAGUGAGUGGACUUUGAGUCAUUUUAAGGUACAUCGUGACACUGAUAAAGACAUGCCACAUCACACACACAUCACACUUCUGAGGAAGUGUCACUUGGUGGUGACACUUCUGAGGAAGACGGAAGUUUCCGCCGAAACAUGUCAAGGUAUGUAACAUUCUAACAUGUCUGAUAUAAAAGAACAACUAAAGUCAUUAUAAAUAGAGAGAUGUUGAGCUCUUCAAACAACUAUCAGUAAGUGUGUGCUUGUAAAUCAUGUUAAAACUUGUCAAGAAGGGUAAUGGCCCUCGUAGCUGUCUUUUUGUGCUUGACACUGUCCGCUCUUAGGUUCUUCAAUGGGUCCGCAGCUCCUGGUCAUCUUGGCAUGAGUUGCAUCUUGUCCCUGCUGGUGGCCCUCCAUAAAUGCUGACACCCAGGCCUCAUUAUCUACCUCAAAGUUUUCACUCAAGCUCCCCACAGCCUUUGAAACAACCAGCCUCCGGGUUAAUCAUGUGGUUGGCCGCCAUGGACUACCCACUGACCCACUGUCAAGCUUUAAUAUCUACUUUAUCUUCUGGUUACCAUCUACGGACCAACGGAGCGGGCCAACCAAGACCUGGGCGCAGCAUCACUGCCAAAAAUCCUUCCUUCUUCCUCCUUCCUCCAAAAAUCCAUUAAAUCCCUGUUGCCAUUGGAAUGUGGUUUUGUUUCUGGCCACCUCUGUUCCUUCCUCAUGGUGACGACUUCACUGUGCCCUUGCCCCAGGGUAAACUCCGCUGUUGCCAUAGGAUGGAUGGAUACAUGGGUGGCCUUACUGCGCACAGCUGACAGCUGACAGCAACCAGCGCAUUGCUGACCACCACUGAACUUGAGCCCACAAUUACUAACCAGGUCAGAGUGUUUGGCUUUCCUCAAAAGAUCUUCCCCUGACAACUGAUUCUAUGAAACUUAUGCCCCAUUACUUGGGCCCCUAUGUUAUGGACACCAUCAUGAAUCCCACCGUCAUCAGAUCAAACAAACCUCCUUUCUUCUGCCUCGCUCCAACCCUUCCACACUUUGCCACUUGUCCAACAUUAUCACCCCACUGACAAAACCUCCAGGAGAUCUUCCCCCAUUUCCACCUUCCACUGACAAAGCCUCCAGGAGAUCGUCCCCCAUUUCCACCUCCCAAAGGACUGCAAUAAAAUCCCAUCCAUCCAUCUUCGUAACCGCUUAUCCUCUUGAGAGUCGCGGGGGGGCUGGAGCCUAUCCUCGAGGUACACCCAGGACAGGUAACCAGACUAUUGCAGGGCAAACACAUUGAGACAGACAACCAUUCACACUCACAUUCACACCUAUGGACAAUUUAGAGUCACCAAUUAACCUAUCCCCAACCUGCAUGUGCAUGUCAUGGACUGUGGGAGGAAGCCAGAGUACCCAGAGAAAACCCACACUGACACUGGGAAAACAUGCAAACUCUGCACAGAAAGGCUGCCUCCUGGGAUUGAACAAGGAACCCUCUUGGUGUGAGGCGACAGUGCUAACCACCACUCCACCAUGCCACCCUGCAAUAAAAUCCCAUUCUCAUCAAAUCUCACUGGAGAUGAGGUUUAAAACUUUGGUGUUUUAAAGGGUUAGUUCAGAUUCAGUCAAGUCACACAAUAACACAAACACACUACUGAUCAAGGCAGCAGUAGACCAGCAGUUCCUGUGUUCAGUGAGGUAAAACUGCUAUUUUUGACAAUGGAGUCUGGCUUUGAAGAGAGCAUGGAUUUACGUUGAGUACAGUUUUAAAUACUAAGGUUUUAAUAAAAAUGCACGUGUUUGGAAAGAACUGAGCAUAUGACUGGAUAAAUCAGACAUGGAGUUUGUAAAUGGAUGUUUUGGUGUCAUUUUAUUAAACAAAGUUUUCUUAACAAGUUCAACACAGCACAAGGUGAGUAAUUAAUACACAAAUGAUAAUUUGAGGGUGAUGUAUUCCUUUAACUCUCCUCCUCUCCAGAACAAAUGGACCUGGUGAUUUAAAUUGGUACAAACACUGAAUAAAGCAAAUUCACAUAAAAAAAAAAAUCAGUGUUAUUCUGAUGCUCUCAUCAUGAAGGGGCUGCUAACUAUGGUGGCCAACACAAAAAUGCAAACACC
Long non-coding RNA from Epinephelus fuscoguttatus (brown-marbled grouper), 2407 nucleotides. RefSeq lists it as uncharacterized. The record is from RefSeq and is a predicted model, not a curated record. The transcript is spliced from 2 exons. NCBI's taxonomy places the organism in Eukaryota, Metazoa, Chordata, Actinopteri, Perciformes, Serranidae.